GCUCAACCGGGGAGGGUCAUUGGAAACUGGGGAACUUGAGUGCAGAAGAGGAGAGUGGAAUUCCACGUGUAGCGGUGAUAUGCGUAGAGAUGUGGAGGAACACCAGUGGCGAAGGCGACUCUCUGGUCUGUAACUGACGCUGAGGCGCGAAAGCGUGGGGAGCGAACAGGAUUAGAUACCCUGGUAGUCCACGCCGUAAACGAUGAGUGCUAAGUGUUAGAGGGUUUCCGCCCUUUAGUGCUGCAGCAAACGCAUUAAGCACUCCGCCUGGGGAGUACAGUCGCAAGACUGAAACUCAAAGGAAUUGACGGGGGCCCGCACAAGCGGUGGAGCAUGUGGUUUAAUUCGAAGCAACGCGAAGAACCUUACCAGGUCUUGACAUCCUCUGACAACCCUAGAGAUAGGGCUUCCCCUUCGGGGGCAGAGUGACAGGUGGUGCAUGGUUGUCGUCAGCUCGUGUCGUGAGAUGUUGGGUUAAGUCCCGCAACGAGCGCAACCCUUGAUCUUAGUUGCCAGCAUUCAGUUGGGCACUCUAAGGUGACUGCCGGUGACAAACCGGAGGAAGGUGGGGAUGACGUCAAAUCAUCAUGCCCCUUAUGACCUGGGCUACACACGUGCUACAAUGGGCAGAACAAAG
Molecule: ribosomal RNA, 637 nt
Filed under: uncultured bacterium
Lineage: Bacteria
Description: bacterial SSU rRNA
Rfam family: Bacterial small subunit ribosomal RNA
Source: RNAcentral